GUUCCUCUGUUCUUCUUAUAUAGCUAUCAAGAUGUGUAAUAUUAGGAUAAACUAUUUAAGACAUACUACCUAACUUCUACUCCUACAAAAUUGAAUUGAAGCAUCAAUCUUAGCUAGCAAAUUUAACAUCAUGAGUUUCUACCAAUUAACUCCGACACAUCAAGGGACUAAUAAUUAAAUACUAAAUAAGGUCAUUCAAGUGUUGCUUUUAUAGAUCACCUUGGAAUAUCCUUAACAAAAAGCCAACGUAUCUAGUUAUACGCCAAUAUCCAAGAACCAGGGAGGCACAACAUUUCCCAAGAUACUAAUAUCCAAGAACUGCAGAUCAAACAGAAUACGACAAUCAUUUCCAGCACUGCAGCAACAAGGCCAUUUUGUAUAUUCGCUACUAAUUGGUAAUCAACUAAUCUUCUCGUGUACAUUAAAAUUUCCAACAAUGAGAAUUUUCUCUCUCCAUUCCAAGAACUUGAAACCAUAAUCUUGUUACAUCAGCUGAUCCCUGAAUAUCCAAAACUUCCUUCUUAAGAACCACCUUUUGAUAUCAUAAAGAUAUUUCAAUUAUCAUAUUUAGGCCCAUCUCUCAAGUCUAUAAUCAGAACUUGAAAGAGUAAUCAUUUUAUGAGAAAGUAAACUCACUCUUAACCAUUUUAAUCUCCAAAAAACUGACAAUCGUAAUUCCUAAUAUCAGAAUAUGGAGUCCAUAACGUUCAUCAACA
RNAcentral lists this long non-coding RNA (716 nucleotides) under Olea europaea subsp. europaea. Lineage: Eukaryota; Viridiplantae; Streptophyta; Magnoliopsida; Lamiales; Oleaceae. The record is from RNAcentral.